CAUUCGAGUGGCGGACGGGUGAGUAACGCGUGGGUAACCUGCCUUACACAGGGGGAUAACACCUGGAAAUAGGUGCUAAUACCGCAUAAUAGGGAAUACCGCAUGGUAAUCCUUUGAAAACUCCGGUGGUACAGGAUGGGCCCGCGUCUGAUUAGCCAGUUGGCGGGGUAACGGCCCGCCAAAGCGACGAUCAGCAGCCGGCCUGAGAGGGUGGACGGCCACACUGGGACUGAGACACGGCCCAGACUCCUACGGGAGGCAGCAG
RNAcentral lists this ribosomal RNA (265 nucleotides) under uncultured bacterium. RNAcentral's name for it is "partial 16S ribosomal RNA". It matches the Rfam family "Bacterial small subunit ribosomal RNA", at positions 88 to 354 of the family's 1533-position model. The record is from RNAcentral.